CCUACGGGAGGCAGCAGUGGGGAAUAUUGCACAAUGGGGGAAACCCUGAUGCAGCGACGCCGCGUGAGUGAAGAAGUAUUUCGGUAUGUAAAGCUCUAUCAGCAGGGAAGAAAAUGACGGUACCUGAUUAAGAAGCCCCGGCUAACUACGUGCCAGCAGCCGCGGUAAUACGUAGGGGGCAAGCGUUAUCCGGAUUUACUGGGUGUAAAGGGAGCGUAGACGGGAGCACAAGUCUGGAGUGAAAUGCCGGGGCUUAACCCCGGAACUGCUUUUGAAACUGUGCAGCUAGAGUGCAGGAGAGGUAAGUGGAAUUCCUAGUGUAGCGGUGAAAUGCGUAGAUAUUAGGAGGAACACUAGUGGCGAAGGCGGCUUACUGGACUGUAACUGACGUUGAGGCUCGAAGGCGUGGGGAGCGAACAGGAUUAGAUACCCUUGUAGUC
Molecule: ribosomal RNA, 440 nt
Filed under: uncultured bacterium
Lineage: Bacteria
Description: partial 16S ribosomal RNA
Rfam family: Bacterial small subunit ribosomal RNA
Source: RNAcentral